RNAcentral lists this ribosomal RNA (508 nucleotides) under uncultured bacterium. RNAcentral describes it as "partial 16S ribosomal RNA". It matches the Rfam family "Bacterial small subunit ribosomal RNA", at positions 28 to 507 of the family's 1533-position model. The record is from RNAcentral.
GACGAACGCUGGCGGCGUGCCUAAUACAUGCAAGUCGAACGCUUCUUUCCUCCCGAGUGCUUGCACUCGAUUGGAAAGAGGAGUGGCGGACGGGUGAGUAACACGUGGGUAACCUACCCAUCAGAGGGGGAUGACACUUGGAAACAGGUGCUAAUACCGCAUAACAGUUUAUGCCGCAUGGCAUAAGAGUGAAAGGCGCUUUCGGGUGUCGCUGAUGGAUGGACCCGCGGUGCAUUAGCUAGUUGGUGAGGUAACGGCUCACCAAGGCCACGAUGCAUAGCCGACCUGAGAGGGUGAUCGGCCACACUGGGACUGAGACACGGCCCAGACUCCUACGGGAGGCAGCAGUAGGGAAUCUUCGGCAAUGGACGAAAGUCUGACCGAGCAACGCCGCGUGAGUGAAGAAGGUUUUCGGAUCGUAAAACUCUGUUGUUAGAGAAGAACAAGGACGUUAGUAACUGAACGUCCCCUGACGGUAUCUAACCAGAAAGCCACGGCUAACUACGUG